GGGCGGUUAGCUCAGCUGGUUAGAGCGCUGCGUUGACAUCGCAGAGGUCAGAGGUUCGAGUCCUCUACUGCCCACCA
This 77-nucleotide transfer RNA is filed under the name Dehalococcoidales bacterium. Its description in RNAcentral is "tRNA-Val". It matches the Rfam family "tRNA". From Rfam's summary of the family: Transfer RNA (tRNA) molecules are approximately 80 nucleotides in length. Lineage: Bacteria; Bacillati; Chloroflexota; Dehalococcoidia; Dehalococcoidales. The record is from RNAcentral.